GUGGGGAAUAUUGGGCAAUGGGGGAAACCCUGACCCAGCAACGCCGCGUGAAGGAAGAAGGCUUUCGGGUUGUAAACUUCUUUUACCAGGGAAAAACACAAUGAUGGUACCUGGAGAAAAAGCUACGGCUAACUACGUGCCAGCAGCCGCGGUAAUACGUAGGUGGCAAGCGUUGUCCGGAAUUACUGGGUGUAAAGGGCGUGUAGGCGGAACUACAAGUCAGGGGUGAAAACUAUGGGCUUAACCCAUAGCCUGCCUUUGAAACUGUAGUCCUUGAGUGCUGGAGAGGCAAUUGGAAUUCCUAGUGUAGCGGUGAAAUGCGUAGAUAUUAGGAGGAACACCAGUGGCGAAGGCGAAUUGCUGGACAGUAACUGACGCUGAGGCGCGAAAGCGUGGGGAGCAAACAGGAUUAGAAACCCCGGUAGUCC
This 428-nucleotide ribosomal RNA is filed under the name uncultured bacterium. RNAcentral's name for it is "partial 16S ribosomal RNA". It matches the Rfam family "Bacterial small subunit ribosomal RNA", at positions 354 to 796 of the family's 1533-position model. The record is from RNAcentral.